CUAGGAUGGGUGACCUCCCGGGA
RNAcentral lists this non-coding RNA (23 nucleotides) under Arabidopsis thaliana (thale cress). Lineage: Eukaryota; Viridiplantae; Streptophyta; Magnoliopsida; Brassicales; Brassicaceae. The record is from RNAcentral.